RNAcentral lists this ribosomal RNA (297 nucleotides) under uncultured bacterium. RNAcentral's name for it is "partial 16S ribosomal RNA". It matches the Rfam family "Bacterial small subunit ribosomal RNA", at positions 335 to 621 of the family's 1533-position model. The record is from RNAcentral.
ACUCCUACGGGAGGCAGCAGUGGGGAAUAUUGCACAAUGGGCGCAAGCCUGAUGCAGCCAUGCCGCGUGUGAUGAAGAAGGCCUUCGGGUUGUAAAGUACUUUCAGCAGUGAGGAAGGUGGAGUCGUUAAUAAGCGGCCUCCAUUUGACGUUAGCUGCAGAAGAAGCACCGGCUAACUCCGUGCCAGCAGCCGCGGUAAUACGGAGGGUGCGAGCGUUAAUCGGAAUUACUGGGCGUAAAGCGCAUGCAGGUGGUUUGUUAAGUCAGAUGUGAAAGCCCGGGGCUCAACCUCGGAAU